UAAGACUGGAUAGGAGAUAAGAAGGCAUCUUUUUAUUUUUAAAAGACCUAGCAAUAGGUAUGCUUAGGGAAGAGCUUGCGUCACAUUAGUUAGUUGGUGGGGUAAUGGCCUACCAAGACGAUGAUGUGUAGCCGGGCUGAGAGGUCGAACGGCCACAUUGGGACUGAGACACGGCCCAAACUCCUACGGGAGGCAGCAGUAAGGAAUUUUCGGCAAUGGAGGAAACUCUGACCGAGCAAUGCCGCGUGAACGAUGAAGUAUUUCGGUACGUAAAGUUCUUUUAUUAGGGAAGAAAAGAUGGUGGAAAAACCAUUAUGACGGUACCUAAUGAAUAAGCCCCGGCUAACUAUGUGCCAGCAGCCGCGGUAAUACAUAGGGGGCAAGCGUUAUCCGGAAUUAUUGGGCGUAAAGGGUGCGUAGGCGGUUAAAUAAGUUUAUGGUCUAAGUGCAACGCUCAACGUUGUGAUGCUAUAAAAACUGUUUAGCUAGAGUUGGAUAGAGGCAAGUGGAAUUCCGUGUGUAGUGGUAAAAUGCGUAAAUAUACGGAGGAACACCAGAAGCGAAGGCGGCUUGCUGGGUCUUAACUGACGCUGAGGCACGAAAGCGUGGGGAGCAAACAGGAUUAGAUACCCUGGUAGUCCACGCCCUAAACGAUGAGUACUAAACGUUGGAUAAAACCAGUGUUGAAGUUAACACAUUAAGUACUCCGCCUGAGUAGUACGUACGCAAGUAUGAAACUUAAAGGAAUUGACGGGACUCCGCACAAGCGGUGGAUCAUGUUGUUUAAUUCGAAGGUACCCGAAAAACCUCACCAGGUCUUGACAUGCUUUUGCAAAGCUGUAGAAAUACAGUGGAGGUUAUCAGAAGCACAGGUGGUGCAUGGUUGUCGUCAGCUCGUGUCGUGAGAUGUUGGGUUAAGUCCCGCAACGAGCGCAACCCUUGUUGUUAAUUGCCAUCAUUAAGUUGGGGACUUUAGCAAGACUGCCAAUGAUAAAUUGGAGGAAGGUGGGGACGACGUCAAAUCAUCAUGCCCCUUAUGACCUGGGCUACAAACGUGAUACAAUGGCUGUUACAAAGGGUAGCUAAAGCGUAAGCUUCUGGCGAAUCUCAAAAAAGCAGUCUCAGUUCGGAUUGAAGUCUGCAACUCGACUUCAUGAAGUUGGAAUCGCUAGUAAUCGCGAAUCAGCAUGUCGCGGUGAAUACGUUCUCGGGGUUUGUACAC
This 1222-nucleotide ribosomal RNA is filed under the name Candidatus Phytoplasma solani. RNAcentral's name for it is "bacterial SSU rRNA". It matches the Rfam family "Bacterial small subunit ribosomal RNA", at positions 164 to 1388 of the family's 1533-position model. The record is from RNAcentral. Lineage: Bacteria; Bacillati; Mycoplasmatota; Mollicutes; Acholeplasmatales; Acholeplasmataceae.